UCGCCUGUUUAUCAAAAACAUGUCUUUGAGGAUAAAAUUCAAAGUCAGGCCUGCCCGCUGGUUAAACUGAAGGGCUGCGGUAUUCCUGACCGUGCAAAGGUAGCAUAAUCGUUUGUCUUUUAAAUGGGGGCUAGAAUGAAGGGUUUGACAAGAGUGAUACUGUCUUUCAAAUAAAAUUUGAAUUUUACUUUUAUGUGAAAAGGCUUAAAUAAAAUGAAGGGAAGAUAAGACCCUAUAAAGCUUAAAUAAGAAAAAUUAUUGCAAUACGAUCUUAAAUUAAAAGUUUGUAGUAAGUACUUAUUAUGUUGGGGCGACAGUAAUAAAAGAAAAUAACUAUUAUGAGUAAGGAAUAUGAUAAGUAGAAAUAAAAUGAUCCUUUAAUAAAGAUUUAAAGAAAAAGUUACUUUAGGGAUAACAGCGUAAUUUUCCUUGAGAGUUCGUAUCGACAGGAGUAGUUACGACCUCGAUGUUGAAUUAACAUGACUUUAUGGGGCAGCCCCUAUAAAAGUUGGUCUGUUCGACCUUUAAUAUGUU
This 534-nucleotide ribosomal RNA is filed under the name Rhynchocinetes durbanensis. RNAcentral describes it as "partial 16S ribosomal RNA". It matches the Rfam family "Bacterial large subunit ribosomal RNA", at positions 1796 to 2597 of the family's 2925-position model. The record is from RNAcentral. Lineage: Eukaryota; Metazoa; Arthropoda; Malacostraca; Decapoda; Rhynchocinetidae.